This is a long non-coding RNA of Numida meleagris (helmeted guineafowl), 2977 nucleotides long. NCBI's taxonomy places the organism in Eukaryota, Metazoa, Chordata, Aves, Galliformes, Numididae. The record is from Ensembl.
CCGCGCGGGGCCGGGGGCCGCCCGCUCGCGGGGAAAGCGCAGCGCCCGCAGCGCGGGGGGCGGCGCGGGGCCGCUGCCGGGAGUUCCGCGGGAGCCCUCGGAAGGGCCCUCCCCCGCCGCCCCCCUCCAAAAAAGAAAAAAAAAAAAAAAAAAAAAAAAAAAAAAAGGGGGAAAAAAAAAAAAAAAAAAAAAAAAAAAAAAGCCUCCCAAAGUGCUACUGGCGGUGCGGCGAGUGCCGGCGCGGCCAUGGGGUGGCAGCAGCAGCCCCUCCUUCCCGGCUCGCAGCGGAGCGCAUUCAAUCCAACGCGGCGCUCGUGUAGAAGCACUGGGAUCGUUCGUGCACUGCAGUUUCUCUCGCCUCUCUCCCUCUCUUCCUUCUCCGCUCCUUAGGAUAUUUUGGGUGGAUUGUGGUUACCCAUCGGGAUCUCCUGCUCGCUGCUGAUCACUUGGCAUCUCCACAGGGGAUUGGGAUCGUUCGGGGCAAGCGGACAACCGAUUUUUUUUCCCUUUCUUCUUUUCCCUCUGGAGAUUUUUCUUUUCCCUCCACUCCCCCUCCCCCGUUGGCACGGCGGUAAGGAGCCGGGAAGCACCCUCCCCCGGCGUGCCCCGCAGCAGGAAGCCCCGCCGGGCCGCCGCUCCCGGUGCUCGGUGCGCGUAGCCCGGCCCCGGCCCUCGGACGCGGCGCUGCCCCCAGGCCGGCCGCCCCUCCUCCCCCCGCCGCACCUGGAUGGUACCUCCCGCCGGCGGCGCGGGCACUUUGUGAAGUGGGAAGGAAGGGGCGACUCGGGGGGGCGGGAGGGGGGCGCCGGAGUCUGUAUGGAAUUACCUGCGCCCGCGGCGGAGCUGGCGGCGGCGGAUGGCCGGGCGCCGCGUCCCCGGCACUCGUGGCGAGCGCAGCCCCGGGACUGAACGCGGAGCUUCUCCGGCCGGGAGCGCAGCGUGGUGACCGGAUCGCACCGGAGGGACAGCGCGGAGGACUCCUGCGGGGAGCAGUGGUGAAAAGAGAGAAGAUGAAAGUUCCUGUUUCAAACUUGAUUCUCUUGUAUGCUACUCUAACUCAGAGCUUGAAGGUUGUGACCAAAAGAGGAUCAGGAUUGCUUAGCUUACUUAAAGGCUUGACUGCAGUCACUGAGCUACUGUAUGUUAAUUUCUGUUUGGGAAAAUUACAUAAUUGAUGUCCAGACAAAGAAAAGAAGACUUUUUCAGCUGUACUGAAUAUGUUCUCAUCCUCUGCUGUAAAAAAGGAAAAGCCUUAAUGGAAGUCUUUGAAUCUUACUACAACAUGGGGUUCUUUAUGGUCUUGCAUGAAUUCUGCUUUUAUAGUAUUUAGUUUCAGUCAGCUAUAUUGCCAAAAAGACUGUUUUGUCAUAGUGUAUAGUGCAAAAGAAAAAUCUGACUUUUACUGAAAUUUCAGGUUUUAAUGUCUUUCUUCAUGGCAUGUAGUGACUUUAGAUGUGGUGAACUUCUUUAAAAGUAGGUGGAAUGUAAUGCAUAGAUGAUAAUGCUUAGCCUGUUGGGUUUUUCUAAUUUAACUUUUUUCCUUGGUUGAUUGGGAGGAUUAUCUUCCAAUCCUAAAUUGUUUCUAUGAAGAAAACCUCUUCAUAUUUUUUGUUCAUGGAAGUUUUAGAAAAUAAGAUUCAUUUAUGUAUACUGUGAAAAUAUUUUUUUCUUCCAGAAGCUAAUCAAUUUACAGUUAUAAAUAAGGAAAAAAAUAUAUAGUUUAACGUGAGCAUGUUAAUCAGAGGCAGCGAAUGGUGAGGGUUAUAUAUGUUUAGUUGUGUGUAUUGCAUUCUGCCACAUGGAUCAGAAGUUUGGCUGUGGCUUACUUUAUAUAUUCGUUACUGUGUCCCUGGGAAUCUCGUUAUACAUGACUGAAGUGCGAUUUUAUUUCAAAGUUGACUUGUUCUUUCUAGUUCAUUUUUUGUUGAGCUUGUUUCUAAAUAUCAUGUCUGAAACAAAUUUAAUGUUUCUUAAAUAUUUAACUUCUGUCUUUCAUGUUUAAGAGAGAUCUGUUCUUCAAAAUACGUCUUCUCUGCACUAUUGGUUGGAUAUCUCCUACUUGGGUCAUUUUCUAUAAGGUUUUUAUCAGCUAUGCUAAAAAGAUAGUGAUUAAUGUAAGUCUGAAUUUCUCCAUCUGGUAUAAAUGCAUUUCUAAUCACUGUUCUGAUCUGUCAAAAACAUGAAAACCUACCUUCGUCAAGUCAGUGAGAAUCCAUAGUAUGCCAAAAAUGUGAAAGUAUUUGCAGGUUCAAAUUUUUUUUUUAAAUGAAUAACAAUUCUGACCACCUACUAGCUUUCAGGAUUUAAGUUUUAUCCCAUAAUUUGCUUUAUGUGUAAUCAAUUAGGAUCAAUAUGAUGUUCUUGUCUGUGCUUCUUGUUGACUGAAAAAAAAAAAACCCAAAACAACAGUAUAAGAGAAGGUUUAGAUUGUGCUGCACUGGACUAAACAUUUGGUCAUAAGAGUUGUCAUUACGCAAAACAUUUGAACGACAUUAUUUAGAGUCAGACUUUGGAUCUUUCAUAAACAGUAGAGCAAUUACAAACUUGUUCUACCACUGUGUGGUAUUCAUCAGUUAAAUGUAGUAAGUGUAUAUAGGGAAAGGUAUUAAUGAAAUAUUUAUUACGUUUUCAGUAAAACAUGUUUUAAAUUAGCUGGCUCAUAGCUGUGUGACAUACUCGUGUAACGCUUUAACUUUUAUAUUUAAUUCUGUUUCUAUCUGACAGAACGUACAUCAGUUAUUUUGGAAUUUUAAAAAAUCAGUUCUGUAAGGCAGUGAAUGAUUUCAAAUGACUCUUUAACGUAUAAUGGAUUUAUUUUACAUUUUGAGUACUUAAUAACUGUGUUAUUGCAUAAAAUGACUGGGCAAGCAGUUCGAGUAACAAUGCCAUUAAUAUAGAAAAAUUAUGCAAGAAACAUAUUCCUGUAUAUCCAAGUGUGCCAGUAAAUAAAGCUUAAACACAUCAACUUUUCCUGUCA